Molecule: ribosomal RNA, 515 nt
Filed under: uncultured bacterium
Lineage: Bacteria
Description: partial 16S ribosomal RNA
Rfam family: Bacterial small subunit ribosomal RNA
Source: RNAcentral
GAUGAACGCUGGCGGCGUGCCUAAUACAUGCAAGUCGAGCGAAUGGAUUAAGAGCUUGCUCUUAUGAAGUUAGCGGCGGACGGGUGAGUAACACGUGGGUAACCUGCCCAUAAGACUAGGAUAACUCCGGGAAACCGGGGCUAAUACCGGAUAACAUUUUGAACCGCAUGGUUCGAAAUUGAAAGGCGGCUUCGGCUGUCGCUUAUGGAUGGACCCGCGUCGCAUUAGCUAGUUGGUGAGGUAACGGCUCACCAAGGCAACGAUGCGUAGCCGACCUGGGAGGGUGAUCGGCCACACUGGAACUGAGACACGGCCCAGACUCCUACGGGAGGCAGCAGUAGGGAAUCUUCCGCAAUGGACGAAAGUCUGACGGAGCAACGCCGCGUGAGUGAUGAAGGCUUUCGGGUCGUAAAACUCUGUUGUUAGGGAAGAACAAGUGCUAGUUGAAUAAGCUGGCACCUUGACGGUACCUAACCAGAAAGCCACUGCUAACUACGUGCCAGCCGCCGCGGUAA